UCAUGCCCCUUAUGAUUUGGGCUACACACGUGCUACAAUGGACAAUACAAAGGGCAGCGAAACCGUGAGGUCAAGCAAAUCCCAUAAAGUUGUUCUCAGUUCGGAUUGUAGUCUGCAACUCGACUACAUGAAGCUGGAAUCGCUAGUAAUCGUAGAUCAUCAUGCUACGGUGAAUACGUUCCCGGGUCUUGUACACACCGCCCGUCACACCACGAGAGUUUGUAACACCCGAAGCCGGUGGAGUAACCUUUUAGGAGCUAGCCGUCGAAGGUGGGACAAAUGAUUGGGGUGAAGUCGUAACAAGGUAGCCGUAUCGGAAGGUGCGGCUGGAUCACCUCCUUU
RNAcentral lists this ribosomal RNA (342 nucleotides) under Staphylococcus aureus. RNAcentral describes it as "bacterial SSU rRNA". It matches the Rfam family "Bacterial small subunit ribosomal RNA", at positions 1193 to 1533 of the family's 1533-position model. Lineage: Bacteria; Bacillati; Bacillota; Bacilli; Caryophanales; Staphylococcaceae. The record is from RNAcentral.